RNAcentral lists this ribosomal RNA (200 nucleotides) under uncultured bacterium. Its description in RNAcentral is "partial 16S ribosomal RNA". It matches the Rfam family "Bacterial small subunit ribosomal RNA", at positions 8 to 200 of the family's 1533-position model. The record is from RNAcentral.
AGAGUUUGAUCAUGGCUCAGGACGAACGCUGGCGGCGUGCCUAAUACAUGCAAGUCGAGCGGAGUUGAUGAGGUGCUUGCACCUCUGAUACUUAGCGGCGGACGGGUGAGUAACACGUAGGCAACCUGCCCUCAAGACCGGGAUAACAUUCGGAAACGAAUGCUAAGACCGGAUACGCAAGUCUGUCGCAUGAUGGGCUU